This 433-nucleotide ribosomal RNA is filed under the name uncultured bacterium. RNAcentral describes it as "partial 16S ribosomal RNA". It matches the Rfam family "Bacterial small subunit ribosomal RNA", at positions 29 to 507 of the family's 1533-position model. The record is from RNAcentral.
AACGAACGCUGGCGGCAUGCCUAACACAUGCAAGUCGAACGAGACCUUCGGGUCUUUUGGCGCACGGGUGCGUAACGCGUCGGAACCUGCCCUUAUGUUUGGAAUACCUCCCCGACAGGGGUGCCAAUACCGGAUAAUGUCUUCGGCCCAAAGAUUUAUCGCCUUUGGAUGGGCCCGCGUUGGAUUAGCUAGUUGGUAGGGUAAAAGCCUACUACGGCGAGGAUCCAUAGCUGGUAUGGGAGACUGAUCAGCCACACUGGGAGUGGGAAACGGCCCAGACUCUUACGGGAGGCAGCAGUGGGGAAUAUAGCAACAUGGGCGGAAGCAUGAUGCAGCAAUGCCGCGUGAGUGAUGAAGGCCUUAGAGUUGUAAAGCUCUUUUACCCGGGAUGAUAAUGACAGUACCGGGAGAAUAAGCCCCGGCUAACUCCGUG